This 460-nucleotide ribosomal RNA is filed under the name uncultured bacterium. Its description in RNAcentral is "partial 16S ribosomal RNA". It matches the Rfam family "Bacterial small subunit ribosomal RNA", at positions 338 to 795 of the family's 1533-position model. The record is from RNAcentral.
CCUACGGGAGGCAGCAGUGAGGAAUAUUGGUCAAUGGGCGCGAGCCUGAACCAGCCAAGUAGCGUGAAGGAUGACUGCCCUACGGGUUGUAAACUUCUUUUAUAAAGGAAUAAAGUGAGGCAUGUGUGCCUUUUUGUAUGCACCUUAUGAAGAAGGAUCGGCUAACUUCGUGCCAGCAGCCGCGGUAAUAUGGAGGAUCCGAGCGUUAUCCGGAUUUAUUGGGUUUAAAGGGAGCGUAGAUGGGUUGGUAAGUCAGUUGUGAAAGUUCGCGGCUCAACCGUAAGAUUGCAAUUGAUACUGGCAGUCUUGAGUGCAGUAGAGGUAGGCGGAAUUCGUAGUGUAGCGGUGAAAUGCUUAGAUAUCACGAAGAACUCCAGUUGCGAAGGCAGCUUACUAAACUGCCACUGACAUUGAUGCUCGAAAGUGUGGGUAUCAAACAGGAUUAGAUACCCUGGUAGUC